Molecule: ribosomal RNA, 400 nt
Filed under: uncultured bacterium
Lineage: Bacteria
Description: bacterial SSU rRNA
Rfam family: Bacterial small subunit ribosomal RNA
Source: RNAcentral
CUCCAACGAGCGCAACCCUGAUCCAGCCAUGCCGCGUGUGUGAAGAAGGCCUUCGGGUUGUAAAGCACUUUAAGUGGGGAGGAAGGGGUCAACGCUAAUACCGUCGAUCAUUGACGCUACCCACAGAAUAAGCACCGGCUAACUCUGUGCCAGCAGCCGCGGUAAUACAGAGGGUGCAAGCGUUAAUCGGAAUUACUGGGCGUAAAGCGCGCGUAGGCGGCUAAUUAAGUCGGGUGUGAAAGCCCCGGGCUCAACCUGGGAAUUGCAUCCGAUACUGAUUGGCUAGAGUAUGAGAGAGGGAGGUAGAAUUCCACGUGUAGCGGUGAAAUGCGUAGAUAUGUGGAGGAAUACCGGUGGCGAAGGCGGCCUCCUGGCUUAAUACUGACGCUGAGGUGCGAAA